RNAcentral lists this ribosomal RNA (253 nucleotides) under uncultured bacterium. RNAcentral describes it as "partial 16S ribosomal RNA". It matches the Rfam family "Bacterial small subunit ribosomal RNA", at positions 524 to 776 of the family's 1533-position model. The record is from RNAcentral.
UACGUAGGGGGCAAGCGUUAUUCGGAAUUACUGGGCGUAAAGCGUGCGCAGGCGGUUUUGUAAGUCUGACGUGAAAUCCCCGGGCUCAACCUGGGAAUUGCGAUGGAGACUGCAAGGCUUGAAUCUGGCAGAGGGGGGUAGAAGUCCACGUGUAGCAGUGAAAUGCGUAGAGAUGUGGAGGAACACCGAUGGCGAAGGCAGCCCCCUGUGUCAAGAUUGACGCUCAUGCACGAAAGCGUGGGGAGCAAACAGG